Molecule: long non-coding RNA, 219 nt
Filed under: Nicotiana benthamiana
Lineage: Eukaryota; Viridiplantae; Streptophyta; Magnoliopsida; Solanales; Solanaceae
Description: long non-coding RNA (NBEN_LNC003332)
Source: RNAcentral
UCUUACAGAGUUCUCAAUUAAUUUGGUACUUUCACAUAUUAAUCAAUAUCCAUACAGUGAAUAUUUCUUUUAAAGAGAAAGUUGUACCAUUAUGGUCAUGUCAAAAUUAUAUGCAAGAUUUGUUUCUUGCAUUAUUAUUGUCCUUUGAUAAUCACAUUGACAAAUUAUUUUGGCGUACAAUAGGUACGUGACCAAUGACUAUUCAUGCCAUAACAAUGA